UCUGUUCUCUCUGUUACCCAUUAUUGCUGACGAAGGCUUCUCCUAGGGUUUUCGCUACCUAUAUCUUGCAAGAGGAAGCAGGCGACACCAAGAGAUUCUCUGUGCAACUUCUUUUUCCCACACCAAUCGGCGACAUGUAAGGAGUCUUUAGCUCAAAAUGGUAGAGCACCUGGGAUAAUGCCCAGGUUAUGGUGGUUCGAAUCCACCAAGACUCUUCUUCAACAGUUUAAUUUUAAUAUUUCCCUUGACAAUGAUAAUUAAAUGACAUGAGUUGUGUAGUGUGGUGUAAAAGUAAACCCUUGUGUGUUACGUGAUUGUCCCUAAUCUGGAUCCUCUAUUUGUUAGGAGACUGAAUCCUUAUUGUUUGAAUAAGAAUCCCAAGGGAAAGCUGGGUUCAAGGC
Long non-coding RNA from Macadamia integrifolia, 401 nucleotides. RefSeq lists it as uncharacterized. The record is from RefSeq and is a predicted model, not a curated record. The transcript is spliced from 2 exons. NCBI's taxonomy places the organism in Eukaryota, Viridiplantae, Streptophyta, Magnoliopsida, Proteales, Proteaceae.